UCCGGGGUAGCUCAAUUGGCGGAGCAGGUCCCUGUUAAGGACACGGCUGAGAGUUCGAGUCUCUCCCCCGGAGCCA
Molecule: transfer RNA, 76 nt
Filed under: Actinomycetota bacterium
Lineage: Bacteria; Bacillati; Actinomycetota
Description: Actinobacteria bacterium (freshwater metagenome) tRNA-Asn
Rfam family: tRNA
About the family: Transfer RNA (tRNA) molecules are approximately 80 nucleotides in length. Their secondary structure includes four short double-helical elements and three loops (D, anti-codon, and T loops).
Source: RNAcentral